AAGAAAAUCUCUUCCAACGAGGACUUUCUCUCUUCUUUCCGGGCUCCACCUAUGGAAUAUGAGUCCAGAUGCUUUGUGGACUUAACAGAUAAUUCUCCCUGGAGUAUUGAAACGGACCCCAGGAGACCAGUCACGGCAUUUUCUUCACUGCGUUCUAAAGGAAUGAAGAGUUAAUCUUAUCCAAGUUCAGAGCCAGAAACCUGUCCUAUAAAAUCCCAGCAAAGACCGACAUUCUUUCCAACUUCCUUACUGGCCAUGGAGCUACGUUUUCCAGUGAUGUACAAGCUAAGUGGCCAUCAGGCAACAGGGAGCCAUUUGUCAGGUCACCGCCUUAGGGGUUCUGCGGUCCCCUGCUGGGGACAGUUCUCCUGGUGUGCGGGUCUCUCUGGGGGGAAAAUGCUGCUUGGGGUGGGGGGCAUGAAGAGGGAAACUUGAAGGGCUAGGAGGGAACAGGGGGCUGUCCUGGUUUACAGGACACUGGGAAGUCACAGCUUUGGUCCCCUGCAAAGGCUCCCAGUACACUGGUGGAAAGGGUGCAGGCUUUAAGCCUGCAAAUUUGACCUCUGCGCCUCCAUACCGCAAACCAUCAGGAAGAAGAAAAGUUGCAAAGAGAGCUGUGAACAAAGGGAGCAGGAGAGGGUGCAGCCAGGGUCCCCGUCAGGGAUGGGUGCAGGGCGAUGGGCGCUGUUCCCACCCCGUGGUCCUCUUCGGUGAGCAGAAGGGGGGAGGUGAGCUGGGAUUCUGCCCACUUUGAACAGCCAGGCACCUUUCUUUCUUCCAGAUUGCUUGCAGCACUGGAAUUCUUUCUUUCGGGAACCGGCAGGGUGCCACUUUUUUUCUGGUUUCCAGGGUGUGCCCCAUGCUUUACCCAGGAUGGAUGGGGAAUGAGGCCACGCUGAAAUGUCCCUGCGAAAUGUCCACACAGCCACCUGGCCUCGAAAGAAACGGCAGAUCCCAAGGAACCACCUUCAAGGCAAAAUCUAGGGGGUCCACCCCCUCCACUCCUGUGCCCCCAACAGAGGUUUUGCUCAGGCUAGAAAUGUGCAAACUGGGAAGUUUAACCAGGGGUCGAGGGUGAAUGCCUUGCUUGCCUAACAAGCAUCUAACGAACAUCCACUGUGUGCCAGGUUCUGAGCCAGCCCCGGAGCAGGGAUGCUCACAGGCCAGUGGGGAGACCCGCCUGACCCCAGGGGUCUCUGCCUGCUCUGAGAUGGGGCGGGAGGAGGAGCGAUUCCUCCCUUGCCCAUCUGCCACUUAGUGUCCCAGCCUGUCCUCUGCCAGCCCACGAUUGGCAAACCUCCACCUGCCCUGUCACCUGACUGCUUCUCAGGAUGUCUCCCGCUCUCCAGGCUUCUCUAGGGUCCCGGCCAGAAGAGGAGACUGUCCCCAUGUCACCACUCAGAGCUUUGCCCCAGUGUCUGCUCCUGAUGGCUGAGAUCCAGAAAGCUGUGACUCUGGCGAACUUCCUGGGGACACGGGCGACACCAGGGCCAGAUACCUGCGGGUCUGCAGUUUGAAAACUGCAGUCUGCGACUAUAAGAGUCCCCUGUGUUUGAAGAGCACAUAUCUCCCUCACACCCAGGGCGGGCAGGGUUUUCAGGUGGCAGAGCCGCCAUGACAGGCAGUAGGUGCCCAGCUGGAGAGUGACUGAAAUGGGCGAAAUCUGUGCUCCUCCUCCCAGGGAAGCCGGCAGAUGUUGACAGCACAGAGGGAAACAGUGGUUUACGAGAAGGGGAUGGAGUUCCUGUUGUGGCUCAGCAGGCCAGGAGCAGUCGUCAUGGCCUGACACCAAGUGCCACAUGGGGCCAGGUGGGCAAGAAUCUGCUACUGACUCACCCAACCAGCCAAUGUUGCCAGCCAGACAGCGGCACCCCCUGCCACCUUGGCUGAAGGAGCAAAGGCAGACUUUCCUACAUGUCCUCAGGCAUCUGUCACUUCUGGAGACCAUCAGUCAGGCUUUGCCAGCAGAGACGCAGUCCUGGACACAGAAGGUAGCGGGGAGGUCAUUGUGAGGCCAAUUGUCCAAAUAUGGCUACUCAUUCCUCUGAGUCAGCAAAAUAUAUUAACAACAACAACGAAAAAGAUCUGUGGGAGAGAAAAAUUUCCUGCCACAUAUUCUGGCCCCUUGAUGACCCCAAAGGCAUGUCGUGUGUCCUUUGCGGGGUCAGGAAGGAUGAGAAAGCAGACCCAGCCCUGGUUCUGCAGCCAUUGGCUCAGCAUCACUGCCAGGGAGCCAUGAAGCCUGUGCUGGGACCUCUGCGGACAGAGCCACACCGGCCUCCCACCUCCCUCCCCCAGAGCCAUGGCCAAAACCCCCUCCUGAGGACCAAGACUCCUGCCACCAUCCGGUACCGUCUUGAUCCUUUGGGCCAUAUACACAUACCACACACUACAGUCUGCUGCUCAGUUUUUCUGCCCUAAGUGGACUCACAUUUUCACUUCAAUAAAUUAGUUCAUAGAGAAGUUAA
Long non-coding RNA from Phacochoerus africanus (Common warthog), 2468 nucleotides. RefSeq lists it as uncharacterized. The record is from RefSeq and is a predicted model, not a curated record. The transcript has 7 exons. Lineage: Eukaryota; Metazoa; Chordata; Mammalia; Artiodactyla; Suidae.